This 216-nucleotide long non-coding RNA is filed under the name Phascolarctos cinereus (koala). RNAcentral describes it as "lncRNA (ENSPCIG00000024174.2)". The record is from RNAcentral. Lineage: Eukaryota; Metazoa; Chordata; Mammalia; Diprotodontia; Phascolarctidae.
CAGCAGUAAUAAAUGCAUUUUCAUCUUCUCUUAACGUUAAAGCUUCAGCCUGCCUUGGAUGAAGUGAAGUUUGUUUCUAUCACAAUUCCCAAGCAAGAGAGGGAUGUUCUGUUUCCUAAUUCCAGAGAUUUUUCGCCCUUUGGAUUAAAUGCAUUUCUGACUAUGCUUCCAAAUUUACACCCCUGGAGAAAAAAGAAAGGCUUCUUCUCAGAGUGA